RNAcentral lists this ribosomal RNA (478 nucleotides) under uncultured bacterium. Its description in RNAcentral is "partial 16S ribosomal RNA". It matches the Rfam family "Bacterial small subunit ribosomal RNA", at positions 28 to 523 of the family's 1533-position model. The record is from RNAcentral.
GACGAACGCUGGCGGCGUGCUUAACACAUGCAAGUCGAACGGUAAGGCCCUUCGGGGUACACGAGUGGCGAACGGGUGAGUAACACGUGGGUGAUCUGCCCUGCACUUUGGGAUAAGCCUGGGAAACUGGGUCUAAUACCGGAUAGGACCACGGCCUGCAUGGGUUGUGGUGGAAAGCUUUUGUGGUGUGGGAUGGGCCCGCGGCCUAUCAGGUUGUUGGUGGGGUGAUGGCCUACCAAGGGGACGACGGGUAGCCGGCCUGAGAGGGUGUCCGGCCACACUGGGACUGAGAUACGGCCCAGACUCCUACGGGAGGCAGCAGUGGGGAAUAUUGCACAAUGGGCGCAAGCCUGAUGCAGCGACGCCGCGUGGGGGAUGACGGCCUUCGGGUUGUAAACCUCUUUCACCAGGGACGAAGCGCAAGUGACGGUACCUGGAGAAGAAGCACCGGCCAACUACGUGCCAGCAGCCGCCGUAA